RNAcentral lists this long non-coding RNA (540 nucleotides) under Nicotiana benthamiana. RNAcentral's name for it is "long non-coding RNA (NBEN_LNC039556)". Lineage: Eukaryota; Viridiplantae; Streptophyta; Magnoliopsida; Solanales; Solanaceae. The record is from RNAcentral.
UUUCUCUUGGUUUUGAUUUAAUUGAAAAAGCAUCCACAUCCUAAGAGGAGGGAGCUGGACGAGAAAAACAAAAAAAAAUAUCAAAGCUAAUCUCCUAAGACCAAGAAAAGAGAAUGGGGGAACGAAUUCUUGACAAAAAAAGGAAAUAAUUGGGGGAAUGGACGAAAAAGGAGUAGAGGUUGAAAGAGAUUAACUCUUUCUUUGGUAGAGUGGAGAACAAAAAAGGACAGAAGGAUUUGGCCACCUUCUGAAACUACUUUAAUUCCCCUAUUUCUAACUUCUACACCUCCUGAUGCUUAAUUGGUUUUUAGCAAAUCGUAAUUAGCUAGGUCCAAUCAUGCUCCAUUUUCUUGCUUCAAUUCGUAACUAUAACAGCGGAGAUAAUGUACAGAAACAUCCAUCUGAUUGGCAACAUCGUCGUGCUUGUUUGUUCUUUCACAACUCAAGGUGUUAGAUUCGAGAUUUCGGUUUGUAAUUUUGGUAUUUUGAUCCAAAGAUUGUUGCUUUUUUAGCCCGAUUGCUUCUCAAUUUUCAAUCUUG